This 253-nucleotide ribosomal RNA is filed under the name uncultured bacterium. RNAcentral describes it as "partial 16S ribosomal RNA". It matches the Rfam family "Bacterial small subunit ribosomal RNA", at positions 524 to 776 of the family's 1533-position model. The record is from RNAcentral.
UACAGGGGGGGCAAGCGUUGUUCGGAAUUACUGGGCGUAAAGGGCCAGUAGGCGGCCAACUAAGUCCGACGUGAAAUCCCCAAGCUUAACUUGGGAACUGCGUCGGAUACUGGAUGGCUUGAAUUCGGGAGAGGGAUGCAGAAUUCCAGGUGUAGCGGUGAAAUGCGUAGAUAUCUGGAGGAAUACCGGUGGCGAAGGCGGCAUUCUGGACCGACAUUGACGCUGAACGGCGAAAGCUAGGGGAGCAAACGGG